This 76-nucleotide transfer RNA is filed under the name Weizmannia acidilactici. Its description in RNAcentral is "tRNA-Thr". It matches the Rfam family "tRNA". Rfam says of the family: Transfer RNA (tRNA) molecules are approximately 80 nucleotides in length. Their secondary structure includes four short double-helical elements and three loops (D, anti-codon, and T loops). Further hydrogen bonds mediate the characteristic L-shaped molecular structure. tRNAs have two regions of fundamental functional importance: the anti-codon, which is responsible for specific mRNA codon recognition, and the 3' end, to which the tRNAs corresponding amino acid is attached (by aminoacyl-tRNA synthetases). tRNAs cope with the degeneracy of the genetic code in two manners: having more than one tRNA (with a specific anti-codon) for a particular amino acid; and 'wobble' base-pairing, i.e. permitting non-standard base-pairing at the 3rd anti-codon position. Lineage: Bacteria; Bacillati; Bacillota; Bacilli; Caryophanales; Bacillaceae. The record is from RNAcentral.
GUCGGUCUAGCUCAAUUGGUAGAGCAACUGACUUGUAAUCAGUAGGUUGGGGGUUCAAGUCCUCUGGCCGGCACCA